GUUGAACGCUGGCGGCGUGCCUAAUACAUGCAAGUCGAGCGAACGGACGAGAAGCUUGCUUCUCUGAUGUUAGCGGCGGACGGGUGAGUAACACGUGGAUAACCUACCUAUAAGACUGGGAUAACUUCGGGAAACCGUAGCUAAUACCGGAUAAUAUUUUGAACCGCAUGGUUCAAAAGUGAAAGACGGUCUUGCUGUCACUUAUAGAUGGAUCCGCGCGGCAUUAGCUAGUUGGUAAGGUAACGGCUUACCAAGGCAACGAUGCAUAGCCGACCUGAGAGGGUGAUCGGCCACACUGGAACUGAGACACGGUCCAGACUCCUACGGGAGGCAGCAGUAGGGAAUCUUCCGCAAUGGGCGAAAGCCUGACGGAGCAACGCCGCGUGAGUGAUGAAGGUCUUCGGAUCGUAAAACUCUGUUAUUAGGGAAGAACAUAUGUGUAAGUAACUGUGCACAUCUUGACGGUACCUAAUCAGAAAGCCACGGCUAACUACGUG
This 497-nucleotide ribosomal RNA is filed under the name uncultured bacterium. Its description in RNAcentral is "partial 16S ribosomal RNA". It matches the Rfam family "Bacterial small subunit ribosomal RNA", at positions 28 to 507 of the family's 1533-position model. The record is from RNAcentral.